UCAACUGUCGACUGUGGCAUAGACGCCCACAGUGGUUUUGACGGGUAACGGGGAAUCAGGGUUCGAUUCCGGAGAGGGAGCCUUAAAAACGGCUACCACAUCUAAGGAAGGCAGCAGGCACGCAAAUUACCCAAUGAUCGAAGAUCGAGGUAGUGACGAAAAAUAACGAUCCAGGACUCAUCCGAGGCCCUGGAAUCGGAAUGAGUACACUUUAAAACCGUCCCCGAGGAUCUAUUGGAGGGCAAGUCUGGUGCCAGCAGCCGCGGUAAUUCCAGCUCCAAUAGCGUAUAUUAAAGUUGUUGUGGUUAAAAAGCUCGUAAUUGGAUCUCGGCGGACUGAGGGCGGUUUGCUUGCUAGUAUUACUGCCCUAUAGUCCGUAGUUUUGCCAGAGGUUUCGGGGUGCUCUUAAUCGAGUGUCCCGGGAUGCUGGCAGGUUUACUUUGAAAAAAUUAGAGUGCUCAAAGCAGGCUAUUACGCCUGAAUAUUCGUGCAUGGAAUAAUAGAAUAGGAAGUCGUUUCUAUUUUGUUGGUUUUCGGAAAUCGACUUAAUGAUUAAUAGGGACAGUCGGGGGCAUUUGUAUUCAAACGACAGAGGUGAAAUUCUUGGACUGUUUGAAGACAAACUACUGCGAAAGCAUUUGCCAAGAAUGUUUUCAUUAAUCAAGAACGAAAGUUAAAGGUUCGAAGGCGAUUAGAUACCGCCCUAGUUUUAACCAUAAACGAUGCCAGCUAGCGAUCUGCGGACGUUUUUUUUGUAGACUCCGCAGGAAGCUUCCGGGAAACCAAAGCAUUUGGGUUCCAGGGGAAGUAUGGUUGCAAAGCUGAAACUUAAAGGAAUUGACGGAAGGGCACCACCAGGAGUGGAGCCUGUGGCUUAAUUUGACUCAACACGGGAAAUCUCACCAGGCCCGGACACUGGAAGGAUUGACAGAUUGAUAGCUCUUUCUUGAUUCGGUGGGUGGUGGUGCAUGCCCGUUCUU
This 980-nucleotide ribosomal RNA is filed under the name Copepoda environmental sample. RNAcentral's name for it is "SSU rRNA". It matches the Rfam family "Eukaryotic small subunit ribosomal RNA", at positions 315 to 1295 of the family's 1831-position model. Lineage: Eukaryota; Metazoa; Arthropoda; Copepoda. The record is from RNAcentral.